Molecule: RNA transcript, 12691 nt
Organism: Pomacea canaliculata
Lineage: Eukaryota; Metazoa; Mollusca; Gastropoda; Architaenioglossa; Ampullariidae
Exons: 11
Source: RefSeq, a predicted model, not a curated record
CGCUUUGGAAACCGGAAGUGUACAAUGGUGAUCGACAUACCUUAGGAAAAUGACAUUAUAAUACCUUACAACCUCUUUCUUAGUAUUGUCGCAGCGUGAAGUUCAGACAGAUGACGUCUAUAUGACGUGGCCUGUCUUUGGCACCAAUGCUGCAGUUUUCUAGGAUCAUAUUGACACAGCAGCAGCAACAUUUAUGCAGGUGUGAACACACAGGCACACACAUAUUUGUUCAGCAUUGAGGAAUAAUAAAACAAGAAUGGCACCUUGUCCAGCCAACCUAUGAUGGGUUAAACAACUUCAGAUUUGCUGGCGCAGAGGGUGGGUAACCACACCCUUCUUCCGGCAACGGCAUAUACAUCACCAUGACAACAGAGGAUUUGUUGCAGCCCAACCAGUUGGUGAAAGACAGAUGGAAAAUAGUGAAGAAAAUUGGGGGUGGUGGUUUUGGGGAGAUUUACGAAGCCUUAGAUCUGGUGACCCGAGAGUCAGUUGCACUGAAACUGGAGUCAGCCAAGCAAGCCAAACAGGUGCUAAAAAUGGAGGUGGCAGUCCUAAAAAAAUUGCAGGGGAAGGAUCAUGUGUGUCGUUUCAUUGGCUGUGGCCGAAAUGAGCGAUACAACUAUGUAGUGAUGUCACUUCAAGGAAAGAACUUGGCAGAACUGAGAAGAAGCCAGGCUCGUGGUUGUUUCUCCCUCAGUACUACCUUGCGUGUUGGUGCUCAAAUCAUGAAGGCCAUCGAGUCCAUCCAUGAAGUGGGCUUUCUCCACAGAGAUAUUAAGCCUUCCAAUUUUGCUAUGGGCAAGGGAAACAAUGCACGCAGGGUGUUCAUGUUAGAUUUUGGCCUUGCACGGCAGUAUACCACAGCUACAGGGGAGGUCAGACCACCUCGCACUGCUGCUGGCUUUCGAGGAACUGUUCGUUAUGCAUCCAUUAAUGCACACAAAAAUAAGGAAAUGGGUCGGCAUGAUGACCUAUGGUCCCUUUUCUACAUGCUUGUGGAGUUUAUGGCUGGCCAGCUCCCUUGGCGUAAGGUGAAGGACAAAGAGCAAGUGGGUGCCAUGAAAGAAAAAUAUGAUCAUCUUCAGCUGCUAAAGAACAUGCCUGUGGAAUUCCGUUCAUUCCUGGAACACCUUCAGACACUGGACUACAUGACUAGUCCUGACUACGCCUUUCUUCAUAAUCUCUUUGAGCAGUGUAUGCGACGCAAAAAUAUUCGCGAAGUUGACCCAUAUGACUGGGAGAAGAUUUAUGCAGACACAUCCAUCACAACCACCAACACGUCACAGUUGGUUGCCAUCAAGCAGAGUGGGGGCCCAGGACCUCAGCAUGUGGGCCCAAGCACACCAGGCCAUGGAGCUACAGAAGUCAUGGAUGAAAACUUGAGCCAGGAGGAGGGUGAAGAACCACUGAAGAAACCCUCCACUGAUGCCCUCAUCAUUCCUGUGGACACAGUGCCCCGUGAUGUGGACAACCGGCUACUGGAGGAGCAUGGGUUGGAGGUGGUCCUGCCAAAAGACAUCAUCCUAGAAAAGAACCAUGUGGGCAAGUACGAAGCAGAACAAAGAGGCAAAGAUUCCAUUUUUGACCCCAAGGGUAACUUCCUGUCACCCACCCCCCAGCUGCUGCCCCUGGAUAACCGUGUUGCUGAGGAUGUCCACCAGAGACCACCAGUGGGUGGUCCUGCAGCUUCUGCAAUUUUAGUAAUAGAUCCCAAAUUGUUGGUGGAACAAGGUGCUGGGGAGCAAGGGAUGGAUGUUAGGGGUUUACUCAGCAUUCCAGACCCAAGCAAGCCAGGUGUUUACAAAACUGUUGUCACUGUUGGUCCAGGUGGGCAGAUAAAGCCAGUGGAUGAGAAUGGCAAAUCUCGAGCAGGUGUGAAAAAAGAGAUGUCAAAUGGCAGCGAACCUCAUGUACCAUCUGCAAUCCCAAGACUAAUCCCUCAGGCAACAGAUCAGCGAGGACACUUGCCUCCUGCACAACGUGCAGUGGAUGGGAGGAUGAGAAAUGUAAACGAAGUGGUCAGAGGAGCAGUUCCGGUGACAGACAGGCACCAGGGGGUCAAGCAAGAGCUUUUAGGAAGGGAAGAGGAAGAUGCAGAUGAUGAGGAUGAGGAAGGCAAUGGAGGUGCUCAGGAUGGUUAUUUCCAAGCCAGCCGUGCUGCUGUAACCUUUGCCAUGGUGCAGACAGAUGUUAAAACACCUGAAGCAGAAGAUGAGGAUGGUGGCGAUGAGAAUGCUACUCGUGCUGCCCCCUUCACCAUGGCUAGCCAGUGGCAAGGUAUCUCUGCUCUUGGCUCAAGUGGCGAUGAAGACAGCGAGAAUGAUGUAGAUGAAGAAGGUAUUCGGGUUGCACCGGAAACAAAGCAGCGACUCACUAAGUCUCGCUCCCACCAGCUGACCAUGAACACUUUGGCAGAUGAAGAUGAUCAUAACUUGGACAGCAUUGUUCGCAGCUCAUUAGUGCUUCAUGAUGAAAAUAAUCAACCAGAACUGCUGCAGAGGUCACAGACCUUUGAUGAUGAUGAUCUCAGCCUCCUGGCACGGCAGGCCACAGAUGAGGUUAUCACUGGCAUAGCGAGGGGUGAGACCAAAGUUGCCCAUCCUGUGGUCAGACAGACUUAUAAUGUGACGGGUGCCCCUAGGCUUAUAUAUGAAUCUCAUGUUUCAAAAAGCAAGCCAGAGUGCAAGAUAGCUAGUUCUAGUCCCAGGAAGAUGCCAGAGAAACUUGCCAAGGACAUGGGCAAUCGUAUUGGGUCCCCACUCAAGCAGACUCCUGGUAGUCCAUCAAAACGGUUGUUUAAAGAUGACAAGAAAGCAAUGUGGGCAGUCUCUAAGCUGGCUGUCCCUGUCAAACCUUCUGUUCAGCAGACUACAAAGAAAGAACGAUCUGUUGGUGCAAGUUCCAAAAGCAACAUGGAAAGUCCUCCUCGUUCAAAACAUGACAGUCUGAAAGGUAGUGAAAAUCAGUCAGGGGUAAAACAAGAGACAAAGACUAUAGACACUGGUGGUAGAGAUGAAGAUUUGGGAUCAAGUAAUUUAGUAUCUCAUUCUCCAUGCAAGCCUGCUAUGAAAGACAAAAAAGUUGAUAAGACUAUGACAGACAGUGCCCGGGAGACACCUGUUGGGAAUGGUACAAAGCAAGAUACAGCAUUAGCUGGAAAGCAUGAAGUUUUUAAAACAAAGUCCCCUCCAUGUGAGUCAAAAGAAACACAGAUGGAAGAUGCCCAGCCACUGGAAAGUGCUGGAGUAAGUUCUGAUGAGAAACGUGCCACGAAAAUUCCUGUUAGAACAGGGGCUGGCAAGCCUAGCCCAGUCCGAAAACGAUCAACAUCGGCUUCACGCAUAGAGCGAUCAGCAAAAGACUUGUCUGAUAUACCCGAAUGUGUAUCACCCCUUCAGCUAGAGGAGGAAUCCCCAGUGCCCAGGCCACCUCCCGGACAUCCAAGGACAGCGGUCAGCAGUGCCAGGCUCCGGCGUUACAAACAGGCCAGCAGCACAAGUCCCCGAGAACCAACAACACCCUAAAGCAUGUACUCCAUCUUGGCCCUCCACUUGUUUAUCGCCUUCACACUCCCCAUCCUCACCCCAUUGCACUCUUGCUUCAUGCUCGCCAAGCCCUAUACUUUGCCACUCAUUCUUUUGCCUGCUGCUUCCUGGAUAAUUUGCCCCUGCAUUCCCUGACCCCAGUCCAUGAAAAGACAGGAUGAUGGAUAAGAGUGGUGUAUGUGAAGCUAGUUGUGCCAUAUGAAGAAUGAAGCAAGAUGUAGAUGUAAAUCAAAGUUAUGCUCAAUCAAAGGCAUUGUGUAGGCAAGACCUUGUGAGCUGUGUUCACAACUCCUGCAUGUUUGCAACCCUUUAUGAUGACAUUUGCUUUCAGUCCUCUCUUGCAUUUAAAAUAUCAAGCUGUGUUUGUGUGAUUAUCUAAAGAUGCUACCCAGUCAUGAUGCAAAUGUUCAUGAUUAUGUUGGGGUCUGUAUGUUAUGUAGAGAGGAAAAAUGGGAAAAGGGUGUAUGAAUUGUGUAAUGAACAGUAAUGACAGUAGACUGUAUGCAGAGAAAUAACUGGUGCAUUUAACCUGGAGGAAGCUGGUCUGAUUGAGAUGUGUUGUGAAUGAAUGAAAAGCUGGCCUGAGUGAGAUGUGUUGUGAAUGAAGGAAGCUGGCCUAACUGAGAUGUGUUGUGAAUGAAUGAAAAGCUGGCCUAACUGAGAUGUGUUGUGAAUGAAUGAAAAGCUGGCCUAACUGAGAUGUGUUGUGAAUGAAUGAAAAGCUGGCCUAACUGAGAUGUGUUGUGAAUGAAUGAAAAGCUGGCCUGAGUGAGAUGUGUUGUGAAUGAAGGAAGCUGGCCUAACUGAGAUGUAUUCUACACAGAUGAGAAUGUUCAAGGUGCUUUAUUGAGAACAGCACUGAGAGUACUGUCUAUUUCUUUUUGGCAAGAACUUGGAAAACAGUACAUGUUCUGGUCUUCAAGAAUGUUCGUCAUCAACAGCUGACAGAAUUUCACACUAGCAUUUAUAAUAGCAUCAGAGGUUCUUCUUCUGUACUGCACUUGACGUAAGCUGCUUGAAACUCCUAGCUGACGUUGUGAUGUGAUAGACAGUUCACGGUCUUUCUAUGUUUAGUCAUUGCUGAAGAUCUUGCCCAUUUUUUUUAUCAUAAUUUAAACUAUUUCUCCACAAAUCUCAAGUCUACUUUGCACAGAUUGCUCAUUCUUGAUGAUUGUGCAGAAUGAAUACAUUAUCCAGUCAGUCGUUUUGCUACUGCAGAAUUUUGACAAAUGUUUUGCUAGUUUUUGGGGGUUUUAAUGUUGGAGAGUGUGCAGGAUAGUUUUUUAAUUUUUGGUCAUCAUGACAUUUUUACCUUUUGUCAUUUUAACAUUUAGUUAGUUCCUUAUUCAGAAGUUGAUUGGUAAAAAAAAAAAACCAACAUAAAAAUAUAUGUUGAACAAUUCAAACCUAAUCAAAAUAAAUUUUGUAGGUAUCUUGCAGGGUACAAUGAUAAAUCAUGAGGAAAAUGGCUGCUGGGUCUGGACUUUGUUGAAGAUCAGUUUUAUUUUAUUGUGAUUGUGAUAUGUGGCAAUUUAAAAAGUGAAUUAGAAAAACUUUAACCUUUUUGUAUCAUUUGUGAAUUUGUAUUUGGCAAAAUUUAAAGAGUGAGUCUGUCGAACAGACAAAGUAUAAAUGUUUAUUUUUAAGCAAGCAUCCUCCUCGCUGAAAGACAAACAAAAUUACUUGCAGGAGGUUGUGACUCUUGCGUUUAAAUUCUUAGAUCUUUGUCAAUAGCCAAUCAGAAUCUGUGCUACUGAAUGAUUUGCUCAAGUUUCAUGUUAACUGCAUGAACCUACAUGCUCAGAUACAUCAAGCAGAUGUUCCACGAGUUCUGGAUGCCUAUGUUACAAUGUUUGACAGCAUCUUGAGGCAGAAUGCACAUUAUAAAGCUGCAACAAAAGUUUUGCAAAAUGUAGCCGUGCUUGUUAUGUCUCUUCCUUUGCUACAUGGGCAGUCUGGUGGUGUAGCAAGAUAGUGGUUGGCUGUCCUGGGUUCAGAACUCAUCUCAGGUGCGCUGUGUUUCUCUGCAUGAGGCAUCUGUUUACAGGACUGGCUGCCUGUGAUGUAGCCUUAGUUGCUGGCUUGGUGUAAAACACUAAUUCCAUCCUUGGUUACAUAUAAUCUUCAGUUUUUCUUUGCGAGUAUUGCAGAGUUUUAUGAAAGAGAUAUCUCUUCAGUUCCUCAUCAGAUGAGAAAUUUGUUAUAGUAUGUGGUUAGCAGAUGUUUUAAACCCAGACAUCAGUCUCAUAAAUAAAUCAGAAUAUAACAAAAUGCACAAGAGAUAUGAUUCAUUUUCCAAGCUGCACCAUAAAGCAAAUAUAGAUGACACAAUACACCUAAAAGCAUUCCAUGCAGAUUCACAAAUACCUCCAGCUCUAGUUUAUGUGACACUACAGCAGAAUUAAGAAUUAACAUUUGAUGUAAACAAUGCAUUUACCUAAGAUGUAAGAUUGCUGCAUAAACCAUGAUACUUGGUGUGGUGGAAAUUAAGGGUACAUGAAGAAUUCAAAAGUAUUCUUUGUUGUUGCCGUUCUAUAAAUUUUACUUCAUAUAGCAGUACAAAAUUUAGUCAUUCAAGCCAGAUGCUUUUGUUUGUAUGUUGACAAGAUAGUCAGCAGGUGCACAAAGCUUAGUCCCCUUGUCACUUGACACCAUCUUGUUGCUGACACCAAUCUUUCUUCUGCUUGAUGACAAAACCUUUUAACCAGUGGUUUGUGGUUACACAGUAGAGUAGGCUGCAAUUUGACUUGGCUUGGCCAGGUUUGUUGUGAUGAUCAUGACAACUCAUGUUGUGGCCCAUGUGCAGAACUGUAGCAAUGUUAUAGCUUGCUUUAACAAGCCAAAUGUUCUCAGCCCAGUAAACCUUUGCCAGUCUUUGGAAACUUAAGGGUGAGCAUAUGGCAGAGUCUGCUUAUUUACUGUCUUGGCUCAGUGUGUCUGAGUGCCCACAAGACAUUACAUGACAUGUCUCUUUUUACCAAGUCAUGAUGAGUGUAUAUUCUCUACACCUGUGUUAAAUAGUAGUGACAGUGACACAAUCCUGUGACAGUUGUUGGCAUGCUGUAUGUUCCACACCCCUGCUGUCACAACCUCCUGACAGUGGCUAAUGUACUGCCAGCACUAUCUCCAGGAUUCUUUAGAAUUUUUGGAGUUGUCUACAAUGAUUCAUCUUUUGGCUUGGAAAGUAUGAUUUCCCUAGCUGGUGAAGGUAGUUUUGUAAAAUAUAGUACUACGCAGUUAUCCUAAUAUAGUCCUACAUAGUUAUCCUGCUAUGUAUCAUUUACCAAGAGCUCAAGAUGGGGUUUGGGUGGUUGGGGUGGAGGGAGUGUACAAACAUUGGCAUUAUGUGAUCCCACAUUCACCAUUACAAGGACCUCAGAUCCCAGCACUGGGAUAUCCUCAGUGACAAAGACAACCCACACAGAUCUCAGUAUUUCCAAGGGGAGAGUCAAAGAGGGGAAGGAAGUCAUCACCAGCCAUUCUGUUCUUAAUCAACCUCCAGAAAGUUUUGAGACCCUCACUAUUAUAAUCCGACUGACCCUUCCAAGUUUACAGACCCACGUCUAUACAGAUGGAGCAGAAGACAAAAGCAACCCACAAAGGUGGUGACAAGCAUCUUGUCAUUUACAAAUGGAGAAUCCACAUUUAUUUGGAGUUCAUAAGGCGUGUCUAGGUCCAACUUCAAAGCAGACAUUCUUACAACUUCAAAAGCAGCAGAUUUCUCUUCCACCUGUUGGAGAACCCUAGGCAUCUCCAUGCUGAUAGUCAACAAGGCAGCACUUGAGGAAUCCUGACCCACUCAUCCUGAAACUUGAAGCCUCUCUCUGCAAUCUAUCAACAGUACAGCACCAGCCACUAGCCAUCACUUUCAGCACAUAUUGGCCUUUCAGGCAAUAAGUUUUGCAUAUUGCCUGGUCGAAGAAGGCAGGCAGUGCCCUCAGCCAGCAGACAUUACAACCUGAAGAAAGACCAAUGCACACCAGAACAGAUAAAGAGGAAACUUGACAAUUCUGAAUGGUGGAUACCAGGCUCAGCCAGACCCCAUCCACCAACAACAAAAGCCAACAGAUUUCAUUUACAGAUUUCAACAGGGCACUGUGGUCUGAGUGCUUACAAACAAAAAUAGGCAUUGUAUGUUCAGGCCAGUUUGAGUGUGGCCACUCACAGCAGACUGAGCUGCCUAAUCCACAAGGAAAAAUGCCAGAAACUGUGGACAUUCGCAUCCAGCUCUGCUGAUCCCUGCCACGCUCCCAGCUUUACAUCAUCCCUUGGCAAGAUAUAUCUGUUUCCACAGAUAUCAAAAAAAAAAAAAAAAAUGUACUCCCACAAAAACAUUUAUGUAGAUCAUUUUCUCCAACAAUAAAAGACCUAGCUACUACAAACACUUUAGUCCAGUAACAUUCGAAGUGGAAUGCUUUCCAGUUAGCAUAACGUAAAAGUUUGCUUUUGAUAAUCAAACUUCUACCAUCAGCUACUUUUAAAGAUACCAAGGUCAAAGGAUUGUUAUGACCUUUGGUUUGGCUGUUAUGGUUGAUUGAUUGCUUUGUUGCAUGUGUCUAUAUGGUGAAAGGGUUUGUAGACAAUCUAAUGUCAGAAUGACGUGGGCUUCGGCAGUAAAGGCACUGAGCUGACCAAGACUAGUGGUGGGCUCCCACAAAUCUGAUGGAGUACCAUUCAGUGGAGAGGGGACUCGGUCCUGCUGUGUUUGCUCACAGGUUUUCAACAGUUGGGGGUUUUUUCAUCUUGCGUGUACAAGACAGACUAGCUGUUCAUGUCCAGACUUCCUUGCUUUCAGAUGCUCUGAAAUGUUGCCAUGUUCUUAGAAUAUCUGCUUUGAAUGUAAAAUUUGUACGUUUUCUCAUAAUUUACAAGUUUCUGUAUGGUAGGAGGUGUGAGUGGAUGCAUCUUUUACAUUGCCUUUUCAAGAGAGGGGGGGGGAAAAAACUUAUUCCCAGUAUGCAUAUAGCCUCCUAGCUUUCAGUACUUUUUGGAUACUUUAAAAAUUGUUUAUAAACUCAGUGUUUUUCUGCUAAUGCUAUGCUAAUUAGAAUUCAGCCUUCCAUUGUAAGACGCUCAGUUACUUCACUGUAUUGUUGGGUCUAUUGCAGGGUGAGCUUCUUGUCAUGAGUAGUGGUUACAAGAGCUAGAAGGGACAGACAGCAGUUUUAAAAGCUGGGAUGGUUGACUUAAGAAGUUAAAAUUUGGGAGGAAAACACUAGAAAACUGGGACUGACAGGAAUGUGUGUGAUAGCUUGGUAGGAAGGCGGUGGUGGUGGGGCGGGGAUUAUGAAUCUGCAGACCAAGGGAUGAGAGAAUGAUGGAAUACUAGGAUGCAGUGUAAAACUCCUUUCACGAAUUGAAAAUCAAAUUCUUUUUUAGCACAAACUCACUUAAGAAUCGUUUUUGAGAAGAUUGUUAAGAGAAGAGAUUGAAUGUGCAGUGGUCACUAAGCUGGUUUCAUGACGUCACUUCACAUGUGCUACCUUCACCCAUGCCUUUGUGUGAUAUUAUUCAGACAGUUGAUGUGGCAUGUGUUCAUAUUUUAUAUCAAAAUUAGACAAUAAAAGGCUGAUUAGGAAGUUGAUUUAAAAGUUGUGUUGCUGUUGACUGUGCUGGUGAAUGAAGAAAGUUCAGAAUAUUGAGAUGGAAGUAAUAUGUAUCUUGUAGCAAGCUGGUUAUUCUAGGAACAACUCCAUUGUUAAUGUGCCCAAGGGUGCAUGCCAGUUUUUCUUAAUGUGUUUGGUUUUUUUUAUUCAUGUUUGAUGUAAUUCAAGGCAAUUUAUCACCCACAGAAACUGGUCUCAUUUGUUUUUUUCUUGUCUUGAUACAGUGUGCAAUCCAGUCAAAUGCUUUAAACAAAAUAUGUUGAGAAUGUGUCAAUAACUACUUUUUGAACUCUUAAGUUUAUGGCAGUCUAAGUCAUUUGUAAAAUUUGUUGUAUUAAUUUUUUGUGCAACAUUUGUUUGGCAAGGUUUGUGGACGAAAUUUAGUUAUUCUCUUUUUAAGUCAAAUGACUUGUAGCUUGUGAUAAAGGACCUCUUGAUUUCUGUAAUAACAUUUUAUCGUUUUAACAGCCGUCAAUGGCAUUGUUAAUAAAUCGUGUUAUUUUGUUGAUGGUUGUCUAGGUUGUGACCACAUGCUAACUAUGGUUAUGAUGGUUGAGACAUUGGCAUUCUGCUAGAAAUGUUUGCAGAACUCACAUCAUCCUCACACUGCCCGGACACCUUUGGGGGAGGGAGUUGUUUGUUUGCUUUUUACCUGAGCCACAUCCAGCUUGUUUCUCUCGAUCUUUGUCUUCAUUAAUGGGCUCAUGUGCUCAGGAAACAUGUAAAAUGUCAGAUGCUAGUGAGCAGCAUUCAGUGACAUUGACAACACUACAUCUACUUGAAUGAUUUUCAUCAGACAUCUGCAUCAUGACAGCAAUGAUGUGCACGUAUGAGCACUAGGGGCCUGUGGUACCUGUAUAUUGUAAAGCUGCCCGUAUUCUAGCUUGUAGCAGGGACACAUCAGGGACUUGAAUGCACCAUUGAAAUUCCAUGCUGCUCAUGAAAUUCUUUUAUUUUCAUCACAACCUAGAAGACCAUGAUCAAAUUCUUGAAAUCAGGAAACUCAAUCUUCAAUCACUACUAGCAGGAGAGAUUUUUAUUUUAAGAGAGGAGAGUUUGAAGAUCAUGAGAAGAAAUGGGUGGUUUUUUGGUAUUGCUGAAAACGGAUGUUAAGGCUUAGUUCAACUUGUAUUUUUGUAUGAUUCUUCAGGACAGGUGUUAAGCCAAAUUAUUCCCAGGAGAAAGCAAUUUGACUGAGACUUAACACUGCAACCCCUGGUAGUUCACAUGACAGGAACUGUACCUGUAUCAUGCAGUUAGGUCAGUUGGAAUGUGUUCAUUGCAGCCUGUUGGCACUCACAGAUGCUCUAAAUGUGAUCCUAUGCACUGUUUCUAGCAGCUGUCUAAAGGGAGUUUCUUGGAGGCAUAGACUUUCCUUAGAGGAUAUCUUUCAUCUAAAUUAACCUCAACCCCCUUCCUAGAAUCAAGCUCACUUAGCCCCUUUUUGUAAGAAAAUAGCAGUCAUGCUGACAUUGUUUCACUUAUAACCAGUAUCAGGCCUGCAUACUAUGAGAGUGCAGACUGAAUGAAGAACUUUACACAAAGCAUAUACAAUUUUUCAGGGAUCUGGAGAUUUCUCAUUGUAGAAACUCACAAAACCAGAUUUAUCACAUGAUCACAUUUAUCAGCUGGAAUUGGUCAUAUUUAUGUUGCUGCAGGUGUAUUUUAGCCAACAUGCAUGCUUGUCAAAAUGCUCAUAUUCUUUUACCAUGUUUGAAUGUGUGGAAUCAGGAGGCAUUUUGCAUAAACAUUGAACUUGAUCUGCAUGCAGAUCUGUUUACCUGCUUGUGGAUGGAGGUUCCUAGUGAAUGUGUACAGUGAACAUGAGCUACAGUUUGACAAAUAAAGUCCUUUAGCUAUAUUGCUAGGUGCAAGUGAAUGUUGCAUUGCAUUAAAGGUCUUUUUGUUAAAGGGUUUUUAUUUGUUUAGUGUUUUCAGUGGGCUAUAAGAGGUUCUCCUAAGAAUGCUGAUGUCAAGAGGCCUUGGAUAUGUGUUGCAGAUCACUGGGUUUGUAUUUAACUACGCUUUCUGGGGCUAAAGUGGUCUUAAAGAUAGCUUUUGAUGAGCUUACAAUGUACUAUUCAGCACUUCUUACUGGCAUGUUGGAAGUAGUUUUUAAAAUAGUAAUCAUUAUGUAUGGUGCUUGUGCAGCAGAAGGCAGGAGGCCUGCAAACCAAAUUCUAUGGCAAAAAUGUUGAGCUACCACAGCAUUGAUACCUGCACACUGUCAUGGUGAUGUCAAAUGUGAAACCUGCACAUACCUUUGUUACAGAUCAGACACCUGCACAGACCCUUGUGAAAAUGUUGCAUCUUAAGUCUGGACAGACUUUCAUGACAAAACUUAAGCCUGGACUGUCAUGAUAAUAUUGAACUCCUCGACAGACUUUUGUGGUCAGUAGGAAUGUUGAAGACAUUUGUGGUUAACCUUCAUUCUGAAAUGUCUUUAAACAAUUCUCGUUGCAUCUACAUGGGAGGGAGUAAAGAAACAGGCUUUGGAGAGAAACUUUAAAGAAUCCAUUACAUGCUUUCGGGUGUUCUUUGCAAAAACCCAUCCUAUACUUAUUUCUUUUUAAUGUUGCAUCUGGUUUUCCCCCAGCCUUUUCUGCCAGUAGCAGUGGCAUUAUCUUGCAAUUGAGUCAACCUUAUUUUAGUCGAAUCACGUCUUUGAGAAGCUGUUUCCUUGUCUUUGCUAUAGACCAAUCUCACAGUUAACCAGUGCUUUUCUUACAUUUGAGAACAUUGUUUUUCACACAGAGCAAGUGUUACAUGCUACACAGACUUGAUAGUCUUCUUUAGUACUAGUUUCAUUGCUGAGACUUGAAAAAGUGAUUAGAGCUUGUGGAAACUAAAAGAUUGAGGGUUGAGUUUUAAAAUAUUAAAAUAAUUAGAAAAAAGAUACACCUUUCAAUACAAUAUACUCAAUAUUUCUCAAAAGUAGUGACAUCCCAGACUUUCAAACUUGUAGUGAUACAGCUUUCCAAGUUUUAUUUAGUGAUAUAUCUAUGUUUAUUACUUGUCUUGACAAUUUCUCCAUUUUACCUUCUCCUUUGGUAAAUUAAGUGAAAUUUACCAGGCAGAAGAUGCACAACAUGUGAAUAAAGCACUUUUUUUGCGACUAAGAUGUCUCAACCUUUUAGAGUACCAAGUACUGAGUUUUCAGUGCCAAAACAGCUCACUUGUUAAAAGCUGUGAUGGUUUUUUUAUUAGCUGCUAAAUGUUAGUGGCUGGCCACUCAUAGUUUUGUUGGGCACCAGUGUCUGGCACACACUGCCGUGCAUGCCUUAGAUCUCGUCUAGCGCUGCUUUUGUUGCUGCUGCAUCAUCUCCCCCAUUUUCAGGAGAAGUUUAUCAAUGGCUCAUCUAGCACAGCUUUUUGUUGUGUACUUGUUUACUGGUAUAUAUGGAUGAUGUCAAUGUGCCCAGGUGUGCUGAUUUCACUUUGCCCACAAAAGUUGGGCUGCGAGUAUGACUGUUAUUGUUAUGGAUCGUAUUUGUGUGCUGUUCUCAAAAAUGUUUUCAAUACACAACACUGUGAACAGUC